This 1116-nucleotide ribosomal RNA is filed under the name Triticum aestivum (bread wheat). RNAcentral's name for it is "partial small subunit ribosomal RNA". Lineage: Eukaryota; Viridiplantae; Streptophyta; Magnoliopsida; Poales; Poaceae. The record is from RNAcentral.
AUGGCGACGGAGGUGACCCUGCGCCGCUUCGACCUCUCGGACGUGGACGCCAUGAUGGCAUGGGCGUCCGACCCCGAGGUCGCCGCCUUCUGCCGCUGGGAGCCCUUCGCGUCCACGGAGACGGAAGCCCUGCUCGCCCACAUCCGGGACACCGCGCUCCCGCACCAGUGGUACCGCGCCAUCUGCCUCGCCGGCGACGCCCGCCCCGUCGGCUCGGUGUCCCUGGAGCCCACGGCUGACCGGUGCCGCGGGGAGCUCGGCUACGUGGUGGCCCGCGCGCACUGGGGCAGGGGCGUGGCCACCGCCGCCGUGAGGGCCGCGCUCGCCGCGGUGUUCGGCGAGGUGGAGGGGCUGGCCCGCGUGGAGGCGCUCGUGGACGUGGACAACGCGGCGUCGCAGCGCGUGGUGGAGAAGGCCGGGUUCCGGCGCGAGGGCAUGCUGCGGCGCCACUACUGGCACAAGGGCCGCGUCAGGGAUCUCGCCAUCUACGGCUUCGUCUCCGGCGAUCCCUUGCCCCCAUCACAUGAGGAUGAGGGUCGGAGACCGAUGGAGCGAGAAGCGGCAGCCCGGACGCCGGAGCGCGCGGACGAGGUGACCCUCCGGCCGUUCGACCUCCCCGACGCCGACGCCGACGCCAUGACGGCGUGGGCGGAAGACCCCGAACUAGUACCGCCUACGGCCUCCAUGGCGUCGGGGGUCCACUUCUCCCCGUCCCGCGACGCCCUGCUCGCGUUCCUCCGGGGCACCGACCCGCCGCACACCUGGAUCCGCGCCGUCUGCCUCGGCGGCGCCAUCGUGGGCGCGGUGACCGUGUUGCGCACAGAGGACCGGUGCCGCGCGGAGGUCGGGACCGCGCUGGCGCGCGCGCACCGGGGCAGGGGCGUGGCCGCGGCGGUCCUGAGGAGCGCGGCGACCGCGGCCUUCGGGGACCUGGAGGGCGUGGAGCGCGUGGAGGCGCUGGUGGACGCGGACGACGCCGCGUCCCUGCGCGCGCUGGAGGACGCCGGGUUCCGCCGCGAGGCCGUGCUGCGGCGCCACCGCGACGCCAAGGACGUGGUCGUCUACAGCCUCAUCUCCACCGACGGCGACCCACUCAUCGACUCACGCAGUUCAUGA